Molecule: ribosomal RNA, 1490 nt
Filed under: Lactiplantibacillus plantarum
Lineage: Bacteria; Bacillati; Bacillota; Bacilli; Lactobacillales; Lactobacillaceae
Description: bacterial SSU rRNA
Rfam family: Bacterial small subunit ribosomal RNA
Source: RNAcentral
CUGCCUAAUACAUGCAAGUCGAACGAACUCUGGUAUUGAUUGGUGCUUGCAUCAUGAUUUACAUUUGAGUGAGUGGCGAACUGGUGAGUAACACGUGGGAAACCUGCCCAGAAGCGGGGGAUAACACCUGGAAACAGAUGCUAAUACCGCAUAACAACUUGGACCGCAUGGUCCGAGUUUGAAAGAUGGCUUCGGCUAUCACUUUUGGAUGGUCCCGCGGCGUAUUAGCUAGAUGGUGGGGUAACGGCUCACCAUGGCAAUGAUACGUAGCCGACCUGAGAGGGUAAUCGGCCACAUUGGGACUGAGACACGGCCCAAACUCCUACGGGAGGCAGCAGUAGGGAAUCUUCCACAAUGGACGAAAGUCUGAUGGAGCAACGCCGCGUGAGUGAAGAAGGGUUUCGGCUCGUAAAACUCUGUUGUUAAAGAAGAACAUAUCUGAGAGUAACUGUUCAGGUAUUGACGGUAUUUAACCAGAAAGCCACGGCUAACUACGUGCCAGCAGCCGCGGUAAUACGUAGGUGGCAAGCGUUGUCCGGAUUUAUUGGGCGUAAAGCGAGCGCAGGCGGUUUUUUAAGUCUGAUGUGAAAGCCUUCGGCUCAACCGAAGAAGUGCAUCGGAAACUGGGAAACUUGAGUGCAGAAGAGGACAGUGGAACUCCAUGUGUAGCGGUGAAAUGCGUAGAUAUAUGGAAGAACACCAGUGGCGAAGGCGGCUGUCUGGUCUGUAACUGACGCUGAGGCUCGAAAGUAUGGGUAGCAAACAGGAUUAGAUACCCUGGUAGUCCAUACCGUAAACGAUGAAUGCUAAGUGUUGGAGGGUUUCCGCCCUUCAGUGCUGCAGCUAACGCAUUAAGCAUUCCGCCUGGGGAGUACGGCCGCAAGGCUGAAACUCAAAGGAAUUGACGGGGGCCCGCACAAGCGGUGGAGCAUGUGGUUUAAUUCGAAGCUACGCGAAGAACCUUACCAGGUCUUGACAUACUAUGCAAAUCUAAGAGAUUAGACGUUCCCUUCGGGGACAUGGAUACAGGUGGUGCAUGGUUGUCGUCAGCUCGUGUCGUGAGAUGUUGGGUUAAGUCCCGCAACGAGCGCAACCCUUAUUAUCAGUUGCCAGCAUUAAGUUGGGCACUCUGGUGAGACUGCCGGUGACAAACCGGAGGAAGGUGGGGAUGACGUCAAAUCAUCAUGCCCCUUAUGACCUGGGCUACACACGUGCUACAAUGGAUGGUACAACGAGUUGCGAACUCGCGAGAGUAAGCUAAUCUCUUAAAGCCAUUCUCAGUUCGGAUUGUAGGCUGCAACUCGCCUACAUGAAGUCGGAAUCGCUAGUAAUCGCGGAUCAGCAUGCCGCGGUGAAUACGUUCCCGGGCCUUGUACACACCGCCCGUCACACCAUGAGAGUUUGUAACACCCAAAGUCGGUGGGGUAACCUUUUAGGAACCAGCCGCCUAAGGUGGGACAGAUGAUUAGGGUGAAGUCGUAACAAGAGGC